CUUUCAACAGAAAACAGUGUGUGCAAUCUCCAAGAUACCUUCUUUACCCCUUCUGUAAAAUCAAUACCCAUCAUCAUCAAAAAAACAUAAUUCAAAAGGGAUUCCAUCAACUCUGCGUACUUGUUUUCCUCACUGUUCUUUUUCUUAGCAAGUGAAGCUGUGUAAUUGUUCAAAUCAAACCUUUCAACGAAGAAUUAGAACUCAAAUUCUGGUGGGGGGUAACUGGAGCAACUCCUUGAACAGUAGCAUUUGUGGUUUGAUUUGUGACCCUAGAUGGUUCUAUUUUUACAAUUUGAGUGUUGUUUGUGGCUGGAAUAGUAACUGCAUCUUGUGAUGAAUUUUUGUGUGCACUUGUGUUGUUGGGAAAUGAAGAUUGAGAUUGAGAUUGAGAAGUUGCAUUGGUAGAUCUAGUUGUGGAAGUGUUGUUUUACCACAUGUAACAGUACCUUUGGUGUAAUUUGGAUAUGGACAUGGGUUCAUUUUAGGGUUUUCGGAAUUGGGUUGAUUUUGGUCAAAGUUGACCAAAAAGUCAACUGUUGACCAAAGUCAACAGUUGGUCCAAAAGUGUCAAUUUUUUUUGUAUUUUCUUGUGGAAUCAAAUGUAAUGGUUUAGAAUGGUGUGAAAUGAAUUGAAAUGGUUUGAAAAUUGAUUUGAAA
This 657-nucleotide long non-coding RNA is filed under the name Lathyrus oleraceus (garden pea). RNAcentral describes it as "Pisum sativum (pea) long non-coding RNA (PSAT_LNC001930)". Lineage: Eukaryota; Viridiplantae; Streptophyta; Magnoliopsida; Fabales; Fabaceae. The record is from RNAcentral.